This 467-nucleotide ribosomal RNA is filed under the name uncultured bacterium. Its description in RNAcentral is "bacterial SSU rRNA". It matches the Rfam family "Bacterial small subunit ribosomal RNA", at positions 767 to 1236 of the family's 1533-position model. The record is from RNAcentral.
AGCAAAUAGAUACCCCGGUAGUCCACGCUGUAAACGAUGGGUGCUAGCUGUCGGGAUCCUAGAUCUCGGUGGCGCAGCUAACGCGUUAAGCACCCCGCCUGGGGAGUACGGUCGCAAGAUUAAACUCAAAGAAAUUGACGGGGACCCGCACAAGCGGUGGAACAUGUGGUUUAAAUUCGAGGCAACGCGAAGAACCUUACCAGGCCUUGACAUGCCCUCUAUAGAAUGCAGAAACGUAUUCUUUCACCUCGGGUGGGAGGAGCACAGGUGCUGCAUGGCUGUCGUCAGCUCGUGUCGUGAGAUGUUGGGUUAAAGUCCCGCAACGAGCGCAACCCUCAUUCUCUGUUGCUAACAGGUUAGGCUGAGAACUCUGGGAAAACUGCCGGUGAUAAGCCGGAGGAAGGUGGGGAUGACGUCAAGUCCUCAUGGCCCUUACGGCCUGGGCUACACACGUGUUACAAUGGCGG